GCAGUUUCACCACAAUAAACCGUGAUCUUUCACUCUCCAGAACAUGACCUCCAAGGCUAAGUGGCUAAAGGACUGCCCGCUCUACGGGUAGCAGACCCGGCUGUGACAGCUUUGCACAGAAAGCUUUCAUAAGGGGAUUGCGACUAGCGACAGCAGCAACAGUUCAACAGACUGUCAUCAAGUAGCGGGCAGGAUUCCCCUAGAAAAGUGCUUUGGUUCCUGGCAGAGCACCGUAGGAACCGUACUUCAGGGCUUGCAUGCUGCUCUCGGUCCUGUUAGGAGUCACGGGAUGGACAAGCCUGCCCACCUAGCUGAGUGGCUGCUUUUUUGGGGCACACUGAAUAUCAGCGUGUUCCAAGGGGAGUUUUCCUCAAGCGUCCUGCGUUGCAGGGAUACACUGUGUCUGUUGGCUUUGCUUGAAUUGGAUGAAAAUUAAAUGAUACCCAAAUCAAAAGUCAUUUUCACUUCUGCUAAGUGAAAACCCUGCCUUUUGGUCUGUCUUCCUGAGAUGCCGAUUGUACAAAUUAAAAUGCAGAGUUACGGGGAAAUUUGUGACUAUAAGGAAAAUAUCUUGACCAUAGGAAAUAUCUGUGACUGUAAGAUACAGGCACCUGUUCCUUGCAGGAGGGAUGUUGGCUUGUGUCUGUCAGAGCCAGCAUCUUUCUGGAAUCAAGCACGUGAAAACUCUUGUCCUCUUGUUAAUUCUCAUACCUACAAAGGAACACAUUGCACAUUCUGUUUGCUGAUCCUUUACACAUGUCUUGGGGGGCAGUUCCUCAAGAAGCUGCUUCUUUACUUGGAUGUGUUUGGAGCUUCUCACAAGAUAAACAGUACUCUGAAGUUUGUUAGCUUCACCUUGGCUUGUCAUCAGUGCUAGUCAAGUGCAAGCAUUAAUCAAAUUAAAGGUUUACUACAGCCGGGCAUAAGGGCAAGCUCCUAAUUACAAGGCUGGAAAACAAGAAUGACCGGGAGUCGUUUAAACUUGAAAUGUAAUUCUAGGGCAAACUUAACAGGUUUUUCCUUAGCUAUUACCUCUCACCUUAAGUUUUUAGGAUACGUCUCAUCCAUAAAAAAACAGCAGUCUAAUUUGUAUGUGUGGUGUAUGGCUCGGCUCCUUCCCUUCCAGCACGAAAGAAGUGCCUCAGGUGUGGCAGGCUGGGGUUUUGCUGGAAGCACUGAGUGCUCCCUCCUGACCCUGCUUUCUGUUGUGCCUUCUGAGCAAGCUGCCCUAGUACACGUUGACCAGCUCCUCUUCCCCGGCAGCAAUUCACAAAGCAGUUUACAAAGCAUUUACUGGCUUUCCUACAUUUACUGUUUAACAGCAUUACAAACUGCGAGCUCUCUAGCUGAUCCCUCAGAUUGUCCGUACGUAGCUGAUCUCCUCUGGGGUGACACAAACAGUGCUUUAGCAAGGAAGACAGCGGGCUUGGAGCAGACAGCUGAAAGCGACCCGCAGCUCAAACACAGACAGCUGCAGGAUGUGAAGAUGAAGCUGUACUGCCUUGGGAAGGUAGCAUGUCCGCUAGUUAAUCUACUGCUGGCUCUAGAGAAGCUGCAGCUGCUUUGCCAGCGGUGUACAUGCCAGGUUGUGUGA
RNAcentral lists this long non-coding RNA (1594 nucleotides) under Anas platyrhynchos platyrhynchos (common mallard). Its description in RNAcentral is "lncRNA (ENSAPLG00000020028.1)". Lineage: Eukaryota; Metazoa; Chordata; Aves; Anseriformes; Anatidae. The record is from RNAcentral.